RNAcentral lists this ribosomal RNA (497 nucleotides) under uncultured bacterium. RNAcentral's name for it is "partial 16S ribosomal RNA". It matches the Rfam family "Bacterial small subunit ribosomal RNA", at positions 28 to 507 of the family's 1533-position model. The record is from RNAcentral.
GAUGAACGCUGGCGGCGUGCCUAAUACAUGCAAGUCGAGCGAACAGAUGAGGAGCUUGCUCCUCUGACGUUAGCGGCGGACGGGUGAGUAACACGUGUAUAACCUACCUAUAAGACUGGUAUAACUUCGGGAAACCGGAUCUAAUACCGGAUAAUAUAUUGAACCGCAGGGUUCAAUAGUGAAAUACGGUUUUGCUGUCACUUCUAGAUGGAUCCGCGCCUCAUUAGCUAGUUGGUAAGGUAACGGCUUACCAAGGCAACGAUGCGUAGCCGACCUGAGAGGGUGAUCGGCCACCCUGGAAGUGAGACACGGUCCAGACUCCUACGGGAGGCGGCAGUAGGGAAUCUUCCGCAAUGGGCGAAAGCCUGACGGCGCAACGCCGCGUGAGUGAUGAACGUCGUCGGAUCGUAAAACUCUGUUAUUAGGGAAGAACAAAUGUGUAAGUAACUAUGCACGUCUUGACGGUACCUAAUCAGAAAGCCACGGCUAACUACGUG